RNAcentral lists this ribosomal RNA (207 nucleotides) under uncultured bacterium. Its description in RNAcentral is "partial 16S ribosomal RNA". It matches the Rfam family "Bacterial small subunit ribosomal RNA", at positions 568 to 774 of the family's 1533-position model. The record is from RNAcentral.
CGUGUAGGUGGCUAUGCAAGUCCGGUGUGAAAUCCCGCGGCUCAACCGCGGAACUGCAUUGGAAACUGCAUAGCUCGAGAGUUGGAGGGGGUUUCGGAAUUCCCGGUGUAGAGGUGAAAUUCGUAGAUAUCGGGAGGAACACCAGUGGCGAAGGCGGAGACCUGGCCAACGACUGACACUGAGACGCGAAAGCGUGGGGAGCAAACA